GACAGAGGCCUCAAACGUUAGGCGGAAUCACUGGGCUUAAAGCGUGUGUAGGCGGAUCGUUAAGUGUCUUGUGAAAUCCCACGGCUCACCCGUGGAACGGCUGGGCAUACUGGCGAUCUUGGGCCAACUAGGGGCAACUGGAACAAGCGGUGGAGCGGUGAAAUGCGUAGAUAUCGCUUGGAACGCCAAAGGUGAAAACAGGUUGCUGGGGUUGUGCCGACGCUGAGACACGAAAGCCAGGGGAGCAAACGGG
Molecule: ribosomal RNA, 253 nt
Filed under: uncultured bacterium
Lineage: Bacteria
Description: partial 16S ribosomal RNA
Rfam family: Bacterial small subunit ribosomal RNA
Source: RNAcentral